RNAcentral lists this long non-coding RNA (1801 nucleotides) under Triticum aestivum (bread wheat). Its description in RNAcentral is "long non-coding RNA (TAES_LNC013267)". Lineage: Eukaryota; Viridiplantae; Streptophyta; Magnoliopsida; Poales; Poaceae. The record is from RNAcentral.
UAUGCCAUGUCACCGCAUGCAUGCAUGUGGAAAUCUUUUCGGAUUUUUUGUUUUUAAAAUGUUUUAUCUCUUAAAUAAAAAAUCUGAUUGAAGAUCCGUUUUCACCAUUAAAUCUCUCGCGACGAGAUCUUCGAAACUAGAUCUCAUAUCAAUAUAUUUCGACGAAUUGUUUUGGGUUAAAAGUUGUUGUGUCUAUUGCACAUGAAUUGCCAUGAUGUUUACACUGAAGUUGUUAUGAUAUGUUUCAGCUAUUUUUUUCUAUAUUUAAAAAUAAAUUUUGACAUAUUAUAAAACGGGAAAUUAAGAAACUAGACUUGACAUACACCAUAAAUUAAAAUUGCCAUGGUUCAUACAAAAAAAUAUUUUCAUGAUCAAAGUACUGGAAUUGCCAUCAUCGAAAAACUAAAAUUGUUAUGAUCUACAAACUAAAAUUGCCACAUGGCAACUUUAGUUUAAGCACUAUGGCAACUACAGUGUAAACAUCAUGGCAACUUUUGGGCAAAAAAAAAUUUUGUCAGAACAUAUCAACAUGGUCUAGUUUUGAAGAUCUCGUCGAGACGGAUUUAAUGGUGAAAACUGAUUUUUAAUUCGAUUUUUCAAUUAGGAGAUAAAACAUUUUUAAGCCAAAAACCAAAAAGAUUUAUGUUGAUGUCAUCUGUUCAUACGUGGCAAAAUGAGUAGUGAUGGAGGCGCGUGGGCGAUGUGCAAACGCCCACACGUAUGGGCGUUAGUUUUUCCGAAAAAAAACUUUUAAUUCGGUUGGCAUAUUUCCAACAAUUAAAAAAAACUGAUCAGGAUACAAUCUCCUUUUAAUUACAGCAAUCAGAGAUACAAUCUCAACAGAAUCAAACUCUCACGGCCGUGUCCCAAUCAAAAAAACUCUCACGGUCGGUAGUAGAGAUACAAUCUGUCUACAAAUAGAACAAAACUCUCACGAUCCAAACAACCUCUCUUUCCAUCAUGCACAUGUGAAUCAACUCGCCCCUUAAAAUACCUUGACUUUGCAAACCACUCAUUGUCCUGUUGACUUCAGAUUACCCAGCAUAUCGUCUUCCUCGGGUGAACAACACUUCGACAUUGGCUUCCUCCAGCGGCAACCAUCUCUCAAGUGGCUCAUUCUCCUCUUGAAUCUCCUCGACUGUAAUCGGCUCAGUCGAGCGAUCAAACCACCUCUAUCAACUGCACAUAUGUUACUCAUGCCGAUCAAUCACACUCCGGGAAUUGUUCAACUGCACAUAUGUUACUCAUGUCGAUUAUGUUGAAACAGAAAAAUCUAUGAUGUUAUUCUAAAUUAAUUAUUGCAAAUCUAUGGUGGCACGUUCAUACUAUUACUCAUCUAGAGAAGGCUUAUGCGAUGGAUGUUGAUUCCAGUGUAUUCACAUUAAGAUAAUACACUCUAGAGGACUGUUCUUCAAAACCACUCUAGGAGACUAGAACUAUGCUACAAGUUUAACUGAAACAAAUGUGAUCACUUGCUGCGAUAUAGAGAAAUAUAUACGGUGCAUCAGAAGGUUUUGAAAUUUGAUGAACCUCAAAUUCUAUGGUGGCUCCAGUUGAAUAUUUUAGCAAAUAUGGUGAAUGAAGAUCUUUAGCACAAACAAAUCAUAGUAACUGUCACUUCAAAUUUGGUCAGGAAAUUCAAUGGUAAGAAAUUUAAUCUCCUUGUGUAAACGCAAAUCCAAAUUUACUAACCAUUUAGUACUGGGACUAUCACUAUGCAUAACAAAUGCAUAUAAAGUCAUCCUGGACAUUGAAAUUCUGAAGACACCAAAUUAAUGAGAGGUAUGGUAUAAAAUAAUGC